This 253-nucleotide ribosomal RNA is filed under the name uncultured bacterium. RNAcentral describes it as "partial 16S ribosomal RNA". It matches the Rfam family "Bacterial small subunit ribosomal RNA", at positions 524 to 776 of the family's 1533-position model. The record is from RNAcentral.
UACGGAGGGAGCUAGCGUUAUUCGGAAUUACUGGGCGUAAAGCGCACGUAGGCGGCUUUGUAAGUUAGAGGUGAAAUCCUGGAGCUCAACUCCGGAACUGCCUUUAAGACUGCAUCGCUCGAAUCCGGGAGAGGUGAGUGGAAUUCCGAGUGUAGAGGUGAAAUUCGUAGAUAUUCGCAAGAACACCAGUGGCGAAGGCGGCUCACUGGACCGGCACUGACGCUGAGGUGCGAAAGCGUGGGGAGCAAACAGG